GUAGGGAAUCUUCCACAAUGGACGCAAGUCUGAUAGAGCAACCCGCGUGAGUGAAGAAGGCUUUCGGGUCGUAAAACUCUGUUGUUGGAGAAGAAUGGUCGGCGGAGUAACUGUUGUCGGCGUGACGGUAUCCAACCAGAAAGCCACGGCUACUACGUGCCAGCAGCCGCGGUAAUACGUAGGUGGCAAGCGUUAUCCGGAUUUAUUGGGCGUAAAGCG
Molecule: ribosomal RNA, 219 nt
Filed under: uncultured bacterium
Lineage: Bacteria
Description: partial 16S ribosomal RNA
Rfam family: Bacterial small subunit ribosomal RNA
Source: RNAcentral